Molecule: ribosomal RNA, 253 nt
Filed under: uncultured bacterium
Lineage: Bacteria
Description: partial 16S ribosomal RNA
Rfam family: Bacterial small subunit ribosomal RNA
Source: RNAcentral
UACGUAGGGCGCAAGCGUUGUCCGGAAUUAUUGGGCGUAAAGAGCUCGUAGGUGGCUUGUCGCGUCUGCCGUGAAAGCCCAUGGCUUAACUGUGGGUCUGCGGUGGAUACGGGCUGGCUAGAGGUAGGUAGGGGCAAGCGGAAUUCCUGGUGUAGCGGUGAAAUGCGCAGAUAUCAGGAAGAACACCCGUGGCGAAGGCGGUUCUCUGGGACGGUACUGACGCUGAGACGCGAAAGCGUGGGGAGCGAACAGG